UACAGAGGCCUCGAGCGUUAAUCGGAGUUACUGGGCUUAAAGGGUGCGUAGGCGGUUCUUCAAGUACCUUGUGAAAUCCCAUGGCUCAACCAUGGAAUUGCUUGGUAGACUGGGGAACUUGAGGUUGGUAGAGGUCGCUGGAACUCUAGGUGGAGCGGUGAAAUGCGUAGAUAUCUAGAGGAACACCAAACGUGAAGACAGGCGACUGGGCCAAUUCUGACGCUGAGGCACGAAAGCGUGGGGAGCAAAC
RNAcentral lists this ribosomal RNA (250 nucleotides) under uncultured bacterium. Its description in RNAcentral is "partial 16S ribosomal RNA". It matches the Rfam family "Bacterial small subunit ribosomal RNA", at positions 524 to 773 of the family's 1533-position model. The record is from RNAcentral.